CGGGGUGUGGCGCAGUCCGGUAGCGCACUCGCAUGGGGUGCGAGGGGUCGUUGGUUCGAAUCCAAUCACCCCGACCA
Molecule: transfer RNA, 77 nt
Filed under: SAR202 cluster bacterium
Lineage: Bacteria; Bacillati; Chloroflexota; Dehalococcoidia
Description: tRNA-Pro
Rfam family: tRNA
About the family: Transfer RNA (tRNA) molecules are approximately 80 nucleotides in length. Their secondary structure includes four short double-helical elements and three loops (D, anti-codon, and T loops). Further hydrogen bonds mediate the characteristic L-shaped molecular structure. tRNAs have two regions of fundamental functional importance: the anti-codon, which is responsible for specific mRNA codon recognition, and the 3' end, to which the tRNAs corresponding amino acid is attached (by aminoacyl-tRNA synthetases). tRNAs cope with the degeneracy of the genetic code in two manners: having more than one tRNA (with a specific anti-codon) for a particular amino acid; and 'wobble' base-pairing, i.e. permitting non-standard base-pairing at the 3rd anti-codon position.
Source: RNAcentral